UACGAAGGGUGCAAACGUUGCUCGGAAUCAUUGGGCGUAAAGCGCACGUAGGCGGCCUCAUAAGUCGGAUGUGAAAUCCCUCGGCUCAACCGAGGAAGUGCAUUCGAAACUGCGAGGCUCGAGUAUGGAAGAGGGUCGCAGAAUUCCCGGUGUAGAGGUGAAAUUCGUAGAUAUCGGGAGGAAUACCAGUGGCGAAGGCGCUGGGCUGGACGGAUACUGACGCUGAGGUGCGAAAGCGUGGGGAGCAAACAGG
RNAcentral lists this ribosomal RNA (253 nucleotides) under uncultured bacterium. RNAcentral's name for it is "partial 16S ribosomal RNA". It matches the Rfam family "Bacterial small subunit ribosomal RNA", at positions 524 to 776 of the family's 1533-position model. The record is from RNAcentral.